Molecule: ribosomal RNA, 450 nt
Filed under: uncultured bacterium
Lineage: Bacteria
Description: partial 16S ribosomal RNA
Rfam family: Bacterial small subunit ribosomal RNA
Source: RNAcentral
GUGGGGAAUAUUGGACAAUGGGCGAAAGCCUGAUCCAGCCAUGCCGCGUGUGUGAAGAAGGUCUUCGGAUUGUAAAGCACUUUAAGUUGGGAGGAAGGGCAGUAAGUUAAUACCUUGCUGUUUUGACGUUACCGACAGAAUAAGCACCGGCUAACUUCGUGCCAGCAGCCGCGGUAAUACGAAGGGUGCAAGCGUUAAUCGGCAUUACUGGGCGUAACGCGCGCGUAGGUGGUUUUGUAAGUUGGAGGUGAAAUCCCCGGGCUCAACCUGGGAACUGCCUCCAAAACUGCAUGACUAGAGUACGGUAGAGGGUAGUGGAAUUUCCUGUGUAGCGGUGAAAUGCGUAGAUAUAGGAAGGAACACCAGUGGCGAAGGCGACUACCUGGACUGAUACUGACACUGAGGUGCGAAAGCGUGGGGAGCAAACAGGAUUAGAAACCCUUGUAGUCC